AACGCGAAGAACCUUACCCAGGCUUGACAUGCAGUAGACAGCUCCAGAAAUGGAGUCUUCCUUCGGGACUGCUGCACAGGUGCUGCAUGGCUGUCGUCAGCUCGUGCCGUGAGGUGUUGGGUUAAGUCCCGCAACGAGCGCAACCCUUAUCGUUAUUUGCCAACAUUUUAGGUGGGAACUCUAACGAGACUGCCUGGGUUAACCAGGAGGAAGGUGAGGAUGACGUCAAGUCCGCAUGGCCCUUAUGUCUGGGGCUACACACGUGCUACAAUGGCCGGUACAAAAGGCAGCGAAACCGUGAGGUGAAGCAAAUCCCCAAAACCGGCCCCAGUUCAGAUUGUAGUCUGCAACUCGACUACAUGAAGAUGGAAUUGCUAGUAAUGGCGAGUCAGCUACAUCGCCGUGAAUACGUUCCCGGGCCUUGUACACACCGGAGUA
This 438-nucleotide ribosomal RNA is filed under the name uncultured bacterium. Its description in RNAcentral is "bacterial SSU rRNA". It matches the Rfam family "Bacterial small subunit ribosomal RNA", at positions 958 to 1398 of the family's 1533-position model. The record is from RNAcentral.